This 501-nucleotide ribosomal RNA is filed under the name Mycolicibacterium smegmatis. RNAcentral describes it as "bacterial SSU rRNA". It matches the Rfam family "Bacterial small subunit ribosomal RNA", at positions 1 to 522 of the family's 1533-position model. Lineage: Bacteria; Bacillati; Actinomycetota; Actinomycetes; Mycobacteriales; Mycobacteriaceae. The record is from RNAcentral.
UGGAGAGUUUGAUCCUGGCUCAGGACGAACGCUGGCGGCGUGCUUAACACAUGCAAGUCGAACGGAAAGGCCCUUUCGGGGGUACUCGAGUGGCGAACGGGUGAGUAACACGUGGGUGAUCUGCCCUGCACUUUGGGAUAAGCCUGGGAAACUGGGUCUAAUACCGAAUAUGAUCACGGGCUUCAUGGUCUGUGGUGGAAAGCUUUUGCGGUGUGGGAUGGGCCCGCGGCCUAUCAGCUUGUUGGUGGGGUAAUGGCCUACCAAGGCGACGACGGGUAGCCGGCCUGAGAGGGUGACCGGCCACACUGGGACUGAGAUACGGCCCAGACUCCUACGGGAGGCAGCAGUGGGGAAUAUUGCACAAUGGGCGCAAGCCUGAUGCAGCGACGCCGCGUGGGGGAUGACGGCCUUCGGGUUGUAAACCUCUUUCAGCAUCGACGAAGCGCAAGUGACGGUAGAUGCAGAAGAAGCACCGGCCACUACGUGCCAGCAGCCGCGGUA